Molecule: ribosomal RNA, 253 nt
Filed under: uncultured bacterium
Lineage: Bacteria
Description: partial 16S ribosomal RNA
Rfam family: Bacterial small subunit ribosomal RNA
Source: RNAcentral
UACGUAGGGUGCGAGCGUUAAUCGGAAUUACUGGGCGUAAAGCGUGCGCAGGCGGUUUGUUAAGUCUGCUGUGAAAUCCCCGAGCUCAACUUGGGAAUUGCAGUGGAUACUGGCAGGCUGGAGUAUGGUAGAGGAAGGUGGAAUUCCCGGUGUAGCAGUGAAAUGCGUAGAGAUCGGGAGGAACACCAGUGGCGAAGGCGGCGACCUGGGCCAAUAUUGACGCUGAGGUGCGAAAGCGUGGGGAGCAAACAGG